RNAcentral lists this ribosomal RNA (305 nucleotides) under uncultured bacterium. RNAcentral describes it as "bacterial SSU rRNA". It matches the Rfam family "Bacterial small subunit ribosomal RNA", at positions 335 to 657 of the family's 1533-position model. The record is from RNAcentral.
UCCCUACGGGAGGCAGCAGUCGGGAAUAUUGCGCAAUGGAGGAAACUCUGACGCAGUGACGCCGCGUAUAGGAAGAAGGUUUUCGGAUUGUAAACUAUUGUCGUUAGGGAAGAUAAAAGACUGUACCUAAGGAGGAAGCCCCGGCUAACUAUGUGCCAGCAGCCGCGGUAAUACAUAGGGGGCAAGCGUUAUCCGGAAUUAUUGGGUGUAAAGGGAGCGUAGACGGCCAGACAAGUCUGAAGUGAAAAUCCAGCGCUUAACGUUGGAAGUGCUUUGGAAACUGCCGGGCUAGAGUGCAGGAGGGG